CGUGUGGAGUGACGGUACCGACUACAGAAGAAGCACCGGCGUAACUACGUGCCAGCAGCCGCGGUAAUACGUAGGGUGCGAGCGUUAAUCGGAAUUACUGGGCGUAAAGCGUGCGCAGGCGGUGAUGUAAGACAGAUGUGAAAUCCCCGGGCUCAACCUGGGAACUGCGUUUGUGACUGCAUCACUCGAGUACGGCAGAGGGAGGUGGAAUUCCGCGUGUAGCAGUGAAAUGCGUAGAUAUGCGGAGGAACACCGAUGGCGAAGGCAGCCUCCUGGGCCAGUACUGACGCUCAUGCACGAAAGCGUGGGGAGCAAACAGGAUUAGAUACCCUGGUAGUCCACGCCCUAAACGAUGUCAACUAGUUGUUCGGUGAGGAGACUCAUUGAGUAACGCAGCUAACGCGUGAAGUUGACCGCCUGGGGAGUACGGCCGCAAGGUUAAAACUCAAAGGAAUUGACGGG
This 462-nucleotide ribosomal RNA is filed under the name uncultured bacterium. Its description in RNAcentral is "bacterial SSU rRNA". It matches the Rfam family "Bacterial small subunit ribosomal RNA", at positions 461 to 917 of the family's 1533-position model. The record is from RNAcentral.